This 300-nucleotide ribosomal RNA is filed under the name uncultured bacterium. Its description in RNAcentral is "bacterial SSU rRNA". It matches the Rfam family "Bacterial small subunit ribosomal RNA", at positions 496 to 795 of the family's 1533-position model. The record is from RNAcentral.
GGUAAGCAUGGGCGUGCGGACGCGGUAGGACUUGGGGUGCAGGCGUUGGCCGGAGUCAUUGGGCGUAAAGCGCGGGUAGGCGGCGUCGGAAGGCCGUUGUGAAAGUGCAGGGCUCAACCCUGGAAUGCCGAGGGAUAGUGCGGAGCUAGAGUCCGGAAGAGGCGAGUGGAAUUCCUGGUGUAGCGGUGAAAUGCGCAGAUAUCAGGAGGAACACCAAUGGCGAAGGCAGCUCGCUGGGACGGUACUGACGCUGAGACGCGAAAGCGUGGGGAGCAAACAGGAUUAGAUACCCGGGUAGUC